GACAACUAAAUACUGAGGAAUUAAGUUGACAAAUGGUGACCUGAAAAGUAUGGGAAAAUUGGAAAAACUUCAAUUUGUUGGUUUCACCUAUUUGAAAAUGCCGCUCACUUCUUCAACGUGGCCGCGUAGCUGGUGUCGUUGCUGAUUGGCCGCAUUUUUUUUACUUGCGCGUGGCUAGACCUUCAGUGGGUUGGAUCCAUCAU
Belonocnema kinseyi is the source of this 203-nucleotide long non-coding RNA. RefSeq lists it as uncharacterized. NCBI's taxonomy places the organism in Eukaryota, Metazoa, Arthropoda, Insecta, Hymenoptera, Cynipidae. The transcript has 3 exons. The record is from RefSeq and is a predicted model, not a curated record.